This 377-nucleotide long non-coding RNA is filed under the name Hordeum vulgare. Its description in RNAcentral is "long non-coding RNA (HVUL_LNC003692)". Lineage: Eukaryota; Viridiplantae; Streptophyta; Magnoliopsida; Poales; Poaceae. The record is from RNAcentral.
UGCGGUUUGGUUGGGCGUGUCAAGCGGUUCGGUAGGGCGCGCAGUGCGGUUCAGCAAUGUCCGAAUUGCGAGUGCUCCGAAUCCCUAUGGGUGCUUUCACCAUGGAGAGAAAAUGGUUAAAACCGAACGAGGUCCAGCAUGGUGGCCGGAUGGGAGGACCAGCGAGGUCCAGCAUGGUGCAUACGAAAAACAGAGGCUCCCCCGGGAUCCUAUGCCUGUCUUCGGGUCCGGAUUUGUCGAUCCGUGGGAUCCGAGGUGGUGAUCACUAUCAAGUGCAAUCUGCUGAAGUCGCGGCUAUGCAAUUCAUUUAGGGUGCUUCGGUGUGUAGUUCAAUAAUUUUUAUAUAAUUUUUGGAAAAUCAUUUGCAGUGCGCCCAG